RNAcentral lists this unclassified non-coding RNA (253 nucleotides) under uncultured bacterium. RNAcentral's name for it is "contains 16S-23S intergenic spacer region". It matches the Rfam family "Bacterial small subunit ribosomal RNA", at positions 524 to 776 of the family's 1533-position model. The record is from RNAcentral.
UACGGAGGGUGCAAGCGUUACUCGGAAUCACUGGGCGUAAGGAGCGCGUAGGCGGGAAAGUAAGUCAGAUGUGAAAUCCUGUGGUUUAACCACAGAACUGCAUUUGAAACUAUUUUUCUAGAGUAUGGGAGAGGUAGGUGGAAUUCUUGGUGUAGGGGUAAAAUCCGUAGAGAUCAAGAGGAAUACUCAUUGCGAAGGCGACCUGCUGGAACAUAACUGACGCUGAUGCGCGAGAGCGUGGGGAGCAAACAGG